AGGGCACCACCAGGAGUGGAGCCUGCGGCUUAAUUUGACUCAACACGGGAAAACUUACCUGGUCAGGACACUGGAAGGAUUGACAGAUUGAGAGCUCUUUCUUGAUUCAGUGGAUGGUGGUGCAUGGCCGUUCUUAGUUGGUGGAGCGAUUUGUCUGGUUAAUUCCGAUAACGAACGAGACUCUAGCCUACUAAAUAGACUGCUCAACUUUAUAGCUGCAUCACCUUGCAGUGGCUUCGCGGUUGCUGUAAGGCUGUGGUGACGUUGGCAGUGCUUCUUAGAGGGACAGGCGGCGGUUCAGCCGCACGAAACAGAGCAAUAACAGGUCUGUGAUGCCCUUAGAUGUCCAGGGCCGCACGCGCGCUACACUGAAGUGAUCAGCGUGCAAUUAACGUUUCCUACUCCGUCAGGAGUGGGUAACCCGUUGAACCUUCUUCGUGAUUGGGAUAGGGGAUUGUAAUUAUUCCCCUUGAACGAGGAAUUCCCAGUAAGCGCAAGUCAUAAGCUUGCGUUGAUUAC
Molecule: ribosomal RNA, 519 nt
Filed under: uncultured eukaryote
Lineage: Eukaryota
Description: bacterial SSU rRNA
Rfam family: Eukaryotic small subunit ribosomal RNA
Source: RNAcentral